AUUUUCAGAUAAUCGCGGUUUGACUUGAUCAAGCUGAGGAAAGUCCAUGCUCGCACAAGCUGCGAUGCUUGUAGUGUUCGUGCCUAGCGAAACCAUAAGCUAGGGUACUUUAAUAAAAGUAACGGCAGGAAAAAACGGCUAAGGCUUUGCUAUGCCCCAGUAUCCUUGAAAGUGCCACAGUGACGAAGCAACAUGGGAAACCUUGUUGGUGGAACGCGGUAAACCCCUCGAGCGAGCAACCCAAACAAUGGUAGGGGCGCUUUUUGUAACGGAAAUGAACGGGACAAAGAGGCAAUUUUAUUGCAGAUAGAUGAUUAUCCAAGUUAUUCUGCUCCCUGUAGAAUAAUUGGACAAAACAUGGCUUAUAGAA
RNAcentral lists this RNase P RNA (370 nucleotides) under Enterococcus saccharolyticus. RNAcentral describes it as "RNase P RNA component class B". It matches the Rfam family "Bacterial RNase P class B". Rfam says of the family: Ribonuclease P (RNase P) is a ubiquitous endoribonuclease, found in archaea, bacteria and eukarya as well as chloroplasts and mitochondria. Its best characterised activity is the generation of mature 5'-ends of tRNAs by cleaving the 5'-leader elements of precursor-tRNAs. Lineage: Bacteria; Bacillati; Bacillota; Bacilli; Lactobacillales; Enterococcaceae. The record is from RNAcentral. RNAcentral also lists the same sequence under 2 other names.